RNAcentral lists this ribosomal RNA (479 nucleotides) under uncultured bacterium. Its description in RNAcentral is "SSU rRNA". It matches the Rfam family "Bacterial small subunit ribosomal RNA", at positions 26 to 518 of the family's 1533-position model. The record is from RNAcentral.
AGGACGAACGCUGGCGGCGUGCUUAACACAUGCAAGUCGAACGGAAAGGCCCUUUCGGGGGUACUCGAGUGGCGAACGGGUGAGUAACACGUGGGUGAUCUGCCCUGCACUUUGGGAUAAGCCUGGGAAACUGGGUCUAAUACCGAAUACACCUUGCUGGCUGCAUGGCCUGGUGGGGGAAAGCUUUUGCGGUGUGGGAUGGGCCCGCGGCCUAUCAGCUUGUUGGUGGGGUGAUGGCCUACCAAGGCGACGACGGGUAGCCGGCCUGAGAGGGUGUCCGGCCACACUGGGACUGAGACACGGCCCAGACUCCUACGGGAGGCAGCAGUGGGGAAUAUUGCGCAAUGGGCGAAAGCCUGACGCAGCGACGCCGCGUGGGGGAUGAAGGCCUUCGGGUUGUAAACCCCUUUCAGCAGGGACGAAGCGAAAGUGACGGUACCUGCAGAAGAAGCGCCGGCUAACUACGUGCCAGCAGCCGC